GAUGAACGCUGGCGGCGUGCCUAAUACAUGCAAGUCGAGCGAACGGACGAGAAGCUUGCUUCUCUGAUGUUAGCGGCGGACGGGUGAGUAACACGUGGAUAACCUACCUAUAAGACUGGGAUAACUUCGGGAAACCGGAGCUAAUACCGGAUAAUAUUUUGAACCGCAUGGUUCAAAAGUGAAAGACGGUCUUGCUGUCACUUAUAGAUGGAUCCGCGCUGCAUUAGCUAGUUGGUAAGGUAACGGCUUACCAAGGCAACGAUGCAUAGCCGACCUGAGAGGGUGAUCGGCCACACUGGAACUGAGACACGGUCCAGACUCCUACGGGAGGCAGCAGUAGGGAAUCUUCCGCAAUGGGCGAAAGCCUGACGGAGCAACGCCGCGUGAGUGAUGAAGGUCUUCGGAUCGUAAAACUCUGUUAUUAGGGAAGAACAUAUGUGUAAGUAACUGUGCACAUCUUGACGGUACCUAAUCAGAAAGCCACGGCUAACUACGUGCCAGCAGCCGCGGUAAUACGUAGGUGGCAAGCGUUAUCCGGAAUUAUUGGGCAUAAAGCGCGCGUAGGCGGUUUUUUAAGUCUGAUGUGAAAGCCCACGGCUCAACCGUGGAGGGUCAUUGGAAACUGGAAAACUUGAGUGCAGAAGAGGAAAGUGGAAUUCCAUGUGUAGCGGUGAAAUGCGCAGAGAUAUGGAGGAACACCAGUGGCGAAGGCGACUUUCUGGUCUGUAACUGACGCUGAUGUGCGAAAGCGUGGGGAUCAAACAGGAUUAGAUACCCUGGUAGUCCACGCCGUAAACGAUGAGUGCUAAGUGUUAGGGGGUUUCCGCCCCUUAGUGCUGCAGCUAACGCAUUAAGCACUCCGCCUGGGGAGUACGACCGCAAGGUUGAAACUCAAAGGAAUUGACGGGGACCCGCACAAGCGGUGGAGCAUGUGGUUUAAUUCGAAGCAACGCGAAGAACCUUACCAAAUCUUGACAUCCUUUGACAACUCUAGAGAUAGAGCCUUCCCCUUCGGGGGACAAAGUGACAGGUGGUGCAUGGUUGUCGUCAGCUCGUGUCGUGAGAUGUUGGGUUAAGUCCCGCAACGAGCGCAACCCUUAAGCUUAGUUGCCAUCAUUAAGUUGGGCACUCUAAGUUGACUGCCGGUGACAAACCGGAGGAAGGUGGGGAUGACGUCAAAUCAUCAUGCCCCUUAUGAUUUGGGCUACACACGUGCUACAAUGGACAAUACAAAGGGCAGCGAAACCGCGAGGUCAAGCAAAUCCCAUAAAGUUGUUCUCAGUUCGGAUUGUAGUCUGCAACUCGACUACAUGAAGCUGGAAUCGCUAGUAAUCGUAGAUCAGCAUGCUACGGUGAAUACGUUCCCGGGUCU
RNAcentral lists this ribosomal RNA (1372 nucleotides) under uncultured bacterium. Its description in RNAcentral is "bacterial SSU rRNA". It matches the Rfam family "Bacterial small subunit ribosomal RNA", at positions 28 to 1381 of the family's 1533-position model. The record is from RNAcentral.